This is a non-coding RNA of Kogia breviceps (pygmy sperm whale), 1809 nucleotides long. NCBI's taxonomy places the organism in Eukaryota, Metazoa, Chordata, Mammalia, Artiodactyla, Physeteridae. The record is from RefSeq and is a predicted model, not a curated record.
CUAUUCACCUACUCAUGAGUUAGGUCUAAUAUUUGCUUACUUAAACUCAGAAUAACCAAAGCCUAUAGAGUUGUUUUCAGUCAUUUUUGAGAACUUUCAAUGCAGAGAGCUUGUCUUUAUGAUGGUUGUUGGUUAGGCUGCAGUGUGACUAUAUCGUUAAUCUGAAGAUACAAUUAGUCUUUGUCUGAAAUAUCCUGUUUGCAGUAGUUCUUACCCAGGUUCCCAUGCACUGCAAGACUGCUCAUGGCCUUUCCCCCCAGUUACAACUGCAUGGAGGAGAAAUCCGAUAUGAGUUAGUUAAUCUAGGAGCAAACAUUGCUCCAGAUAAAAAGGGGUUGUUUCUUUGGCAUCUUAUUAUUAUUAUUUUUAAUUGAUUUAUUUUAUUUUUGGCUGCAUUGGGUCUUCGUUGCUGCGCGUGGCUUUUCUCCAGUUGUGGCGAGCAGGAGCUACUCUUCCUUGCGGUGCACAGGCUUCUCAUUGCGGUGGCUUCUCUUGUUGCAGAGCACGGGCUCUAGAGCGCAGGCUCAGUAGUUGUGGCACACGGGCUUAGUUGCUCCGCGGGAUGUGGGAUCUUCCCGGAACAGGGCUCGAACCCGUGUCCCCUGCAUUGGCAGGCGGAUUCUUAACCACUGCACCACCAGGGGAGCCCCUCUUUGGUGUCUUAUAAGAGAUAAUUAUGUUUCAGCUUUAGUAGGUGAGACUCUAGGCCUUUGUUUGAAUUUUUGAAAUGUAGAAAUAUUGAGUAUAUGAUAUAAAACUUGACAAAACAAGAUCCUCACAUGUGAAAUGUUAAUAUAUGUAUGGAUUUGCAAAUAAGUGACAUAAUAUUGGGAAUGAAAAGAAAACAUUAGUUUAAGAAAGUAAUGAGCAGUGACCACGGUGACCCCUAAUUUAGUUAUUCUGGGUGCAGAGCCACUGUAUAGCCCUGCUGGGAAUUCAGGUUUGUUUUUUUAAUUACAGAGUGGGAAAAUCACUUUUAUAGCAUAGAUACUCUUUUUUUUUAAAGGUAAUAAAAUAUUUAGGUAUGGACAGAGCAGACAGUAUUGAAUGAAUGUUUAGAGUCAGGCUUGGAAGAAUUUUUUAUAGUAUUAAAAUGGAAGCUCUCAAAUCUUCACUUCCCCAUCUUCUGUCACCUUAUUAUUAUCAUUUCUUGUUGCAUAAGUGGAGUUAUCUAUCCUUCUGUAAAUACUCCGAUUUCUUUUACAGCCGAGUUUGUUACCCAUUUUGUGUGAUAAUUACUGGAACAAAGGUCACCAACCUCAUUGGCAUUUAGUCCACCCAGGAGGGCUAAGCAGUUGCAGCAAAUGUCCCUGUCCAGCCUAAAGGGAGGAGAGUAAAAUGAACUGGGGACUUGGUGGAAGGGAAAGAACAAGUUAGAUUGAAAGAGCAAAAGAAAGAGGCAGUUUUAAAAAGAUCACAAUGGGAACAGUUAUUUACUGGGUCAGAUUUGGUACUCAAGAAAUCUUCACCCUUCACCCUUUCUCCCCUUUUAAAGUUUGGUUAAUUUAUGCUUUUCUUUAGGUAAGAUAUUCAUAUGCGUUGAAAGCCAAAUGAGUCGAUAGUGUUUAGAGGAAAGAGCUUCCUGUUGUCCCAUCAUUCAUUUCCUCUGCCUGGAAGCAACCAGUGUUAGUUAGCAGUGUCUUGUGUAUCCUCUCAGGGAUAAUCUAUACAGAUGUGUGAAAAUACAUAUAUAUCCUCAUCAUCCCCCUUUCCAACACAAAUAGUAUCCUUAAAAAUCUGCUUUUUGGGGGGCAUUUUGCUUUUUUCACUUAACCCCAAAUCAGUAAAUAUAUCCUCAUUCUUUUUGUA